GUAGGGUCCAAGCGUUAAUCGGAAUUACUGGGCGUAAAGCGUGCGCAGGCGGUUGUGCAAGACCGAUGUGAAAUCCCCGAGCUUAACUUGGGAAUUGCAUUGGUGACUGCACGGCUAGAGUGUGUCAGAGGGGGGUAGAAUUCACGUGUAGCAGUGAAAUGCGUAGAGAUGUGGAGGUAUACCGAUGGCGAAGGCAGCCCCCUGGGACGUGACUGACGCUCAUGCACGAAAGCGUGGGGAGCAAACAGGAUUAGAUACCCUGGUAGUCCACGCCCUAAACGAUGUCAACUAGUUGUUGGGGAUUCAUUUUCUCAGUAACGUAGCUAACGCGUGAAGUUGACCGCCUGGGGAGU
RNAcentral lists this ribosomal RNA (353 nucleotides) under uncultured bacterium. RNAcentral describes it as "bacterial SSU rRNA". It matches the Rfam family "Bacterial small subunit ribosomal RNA", at positions 527 to 881 of the family's 1533-position model. The record is from RNAcentral.